RNAcentral lists this long non-coding RNA (1635 nucleotides) under Prunus dulcis (almond). RNAcentral's name for it is "sRNA ncRNA". Lineage: Eukaryota; Viridiplantae; Streptophyta; Magnoliopsida; Rosales; Rosaceae. The record is from RNAcentral.
CCCUUCAUAUGGUUUGUUUUUCUAGUUCGCUCGGUGGCUGCUGGUUCAUCAGGUAAGCACCCUCUGCUCUUCAUUGUUUUUUCUGCUUUUUGAUUGCUGGGUUUUGAGCAUCGUCUGAAAAACUCAGCCGCUUCAUCUUGGUUAUAUAAUUAUCAAAUGGAUUGUGUAAUGGGUAUAUAAUUACAAAAACUCAGCCCCUGCAUAUAUUUCGCUCGUUGGCCACUGGUUCGUGAGGUGAGCCAGGCUCUACUUCAUAAUUUUCCCCCCCUUUUUGGUUGCUGGUGUUGGAGCCAACGCACAAGAAGCUUUUAAAAGAUUAAUUUGUGAUAAUUAUAUACCAAUUAUGCAAUUCAUUUGGUUUCAAAAAAAAAUUCAAGAAAAAGAGAAGGAAGAAGGUUGAUUUGGCUGAAGCAUACCUCCAGCAUUUUGGUUCAUCAGAAGUUAAUUCCCAUCUUGCCUUUUAAAUUGAUCCUAUUUUCAAGCUAUGUCUUUGGACACUUGGCUACAAAAGCAAUUCUGGGAAUUUUUGGGUGUACAAAGACGUUUUUGGGGUGUGUAUCAAAAGCUAAUCACCCUUAUAUACAUAGGGAUGAAUGCUUUAUUCUUUGUCCACAGAUACACUAUUUAAUGAAUGCUUUAUUGGGUACUAAUAAUUUGGAAUAUGUUAAAUGGUGAAAUGGUUAAGAGUGGUGGUUAGAUGGGGAUGCUGUCCUAAAUGUUGAACAACUGCUUAUGAAUGGAGCCUUGUGUGUUGGUCAAACUGUGUAAAUGCUAUUAUUAUGUUAUAUAUCGAGAGUGCUUGCCUAUGUAGCUCAUGUCUAUGAGUCUAGCUAUUUUCAUUGUCAUAAUACAUUUCAUAUUUAAGCAUUUUGUUUCUUGAAACAUUGUUACUAGUUGUGGGUUUUGUUAUCUAGCCUAAUGUGAGAUUUGUAAUUUCCAGAUACAAUGUGCAGGUUUGCUUAAAACAGAUACCAAAAUGUAAGUGUAGGUGGGUGCGGGUAGUGAGGGAUCUUUGGUGGUUGACAUCUGACUUCUAUUUGAAGUGGUUUAUUCUUUGAGUAAUGAUGCUUGCAGCUUCUGUAAGAGUAUAGUGGCAUGCAUCUAAUAUCAGUAUCUAUAACUUCUAUUUUCACUUUUACAUUUGCAGGUAGAAUUGUGAUUGGAUUAUAUGGUUAGGUUGUACCAAAAACUGUUGGUACGUGUUCAUUUCAUGUUGGUUUGUUUGUGACAAAUGAAAUGGCAAGAGAGCUGGGAAAUAUUCUUCUUCUACAGGCCAAAAGUUAACAAAGAGGAAGCUCACAGCCCAGAUGAUGUUCUAGUGAAAAAGGUGCAAAGAAGAAGGGAUCAAAUUCUAGUGAAAAAGGUUCUAGCGGUAGUCAAAGUAGUGAAGGUGGGCAUGGUAGGCAGGAAGUGAACAUUGAGAACCAACCAUUGCUGAGGUUCAUAGUGAUGGGAAGGAAAUCCUAUACUAUGAAAAAUUAUGUAUUAUUUUUCCCCAAAAAUCUUUUUUAUAUGACCCAAAAUUCUAUGAAGUUUGUAUGAGGUUCUGCAUUAUUAACAUCAUUGUGCAUUCUUCAUCAUGUUCUGACAUGGAGAGAGCUUACUGGAAAGUAUGCAUCAUGAUAAAUGACUUCG